Molecule: signal recognition particle RNA, 144 nt
Filed under: Amphidinium massartii
Lineage: Eukaryota; Dinophyceae; Amphidiniales; Amphidiniaceae
Description: partial Protozoan signal recognition particle RNA
Rfam family: Metazoan signal recognition particle RNA
About the family: The signal recognition particle (SRP) is a universally conserved ribonucleoprotein. It is involved in the co-translational targeting of proteins to membranes.
Source: RNAcentral
AUGCUGGUAUGUCCUUGCCCAAGCCUGGGGUGCACAGAGAAGGCUUCCUGGAAAGGGAGUAGUCUUGGUGCUUGAAGAGGAGGGCACUGGUUGAGGCUGGAAACAGAGCAGACAAAACCUUUCGCCCAAGGUAGUGGGGAGAUU